GAUGAACGCUGGCGGCGUGCCUAAUACAUGCAAGUCGAGCGAACGGACGAGAAGCUUGCUUCUCUGAUGUUAGCGGCGGACGGGUGAGUAACACGUGGAUAACCUACCUAUAAGACUGGGAUAACUUCGGGAAACCGUAGCUAAUACCGGAUAAUAUUUUGAACCGCAUGGUUCAAAAGUGAAAGACGGUCUUGCUGUCACUUAUAGAUGGGUCCGCGCUGCAUUAGCUAGUUGGUAAGGUAACGGCUUACCAAGGCAACGAUGCAUAGCCGACCUGAGAGGGUGAUCGGCCACACUGGGACUGAGACACGGUCCAGACUCCUACGGGAGGCAGCAGUAGGGAAUCUUCCGCAAUGGGCGAAAGCCUGACGGAGCAACGCCGCGUGAGUGAUGAAGGUCUUCGGAUCGUAAAACUCUGUUAUUAGGGAAGAACAUAUGUGUAAGUAACUGUGCACAUCUUGACGGUACCUAAUCAGAAAGCCACGGCUAACUACGUG
RNAcentral lists this ribosomal RNA (497 nucleotides) under uncultured bacterium. RNAcentral's name for it is "partial 16S ribosomal RNA". It matches the Rfam family "Bacterial small subunit ribosomal RNA", at positions 28 to 507 of the family's 1533-position model. The record is from RNAcentral.